AUGGCCAGGAAGACACUUCCAAACCCUUCUGGUCUGACCCUGCUCAUCCUCUGGGCAGCAGGCAAGGGAAGUCAGAGAAUGAGCCAGGAAUUCUUAAUGGGCAGAGGGACUAGGAAUCUUCUCUCUCAUCCCUGUCUCUCCUUUCUCUUACCUUCCUUUCUCCCUCUCUCCUCUCUUUCCUUUUCUUACAUCUUUCCUUUCUCUCUCUCCUCCCUCUCUCCUUCCUUUCUCCGUUUCUCUUUUUUCUCAUCUUUCCUCUCUUCUCCCUCCCUCUUGUCUCUCUCCUUCCCUUUUUCUCUCUUUAUUUUUCCCUAUCUCUUCUUUCCUUUUUCUCCUCCCUCCCUCUCUUCCUUUCUCUCUUCAUUCUUUUCUUCCUGUCUCUCUCCUUCCUUUCUCUCCUCCUUCCCUCUCCUUCCUUCCUCCCUGUUUCUCUCCUUCCUUCCUUUUUUCUUUCCUUUAUUACUCCCUCUUGUCUUUCCUUUUUUCCUUUCCUCUCUCUCUUCCCUCUCCUUCCUUCCUCCCCAUUUCUCUCCUUCCUUCCUUUUUUCUCUCCUUUAUUACUCCCUCUUGUCUUUCCUUUUUUCCUAUUUUUCCUUUCUCUUUCUCCUUCUUCCCUCCCCUUCCCCUACUUUCCCCCUCCCCCUUCUCUCCUUCCCAGCUCUCUCUCCCCUUCCCCCACCCUUUCUUUAG
RNAcentral lists this long non-coding RNA (690 nucleotides) under Monodelphis domestica (gray short-tailed opossum). Its description in RNAcentral is "lncRNA (ENSMODG00000047282.1)". Lineage: Eukaryota; Metazoa; Chordata; Mammalia; Didelphimorphia; Didelphidae. The record is from RNAcentral.